RNAcentral lists this ribosomal RNA (410 nucleotides) under uncultured bacterium. RNAcentral describes it as "bacterial SSU rRNA". It matches the Rfam family "Bacterial small subunit ribosomal RNA", at positions 29 to 433 of the family's 1533-position model. The record is from RNAcentral.
AGUGAACGCUGGCGGCAGGCCCUAAUACAUGCAAGUCGAACGGCAGCACAGUGGAGCUUGCUCCAUGGGUGGCGAGUGGCGGACGGGUGAGGAAUACAUGGGAAUCUGCCCAGUCGUGGGGGAUAACGUAUGGAAACGUACGCUAAUACCGCAUGCGCCCUUCGGGGAAAGUCGGGGACCGCAAGGCCUGACGCGAUUGGAUGAGCCCAUGUUCGAUUAGCUAGUUGGCGGGUAACGGCCCGACCAAGGCGACGAUCGAUAGCUGGUCUGAGAGGAUGAUCAGCCACACUGGAACUGAGACACGGUCCAGACUCCUACGGGAGGCAGCAGUAAGGAAUAUUGGACAAUGGGCGCAAGCCUGAUCCAGCCAUGCCGCGUGAGUGAAGAAGGACCCUCGGGUUGUAAAGCUC